Orcinus orca (killer whale) is the source of this 3237-nucleotide long non-coding RNA. RefSeq lists it as uncharacterized. The record is from RefSeq and is a predicted model, not a curated record. Lineage: Eukaryota; Metazoa; Chordata; Mammalia; Artiodactyla; Delphinidae. The transcript has 2 exons.
CCAGCCCAGGAGAGGACACUGCAUGCCAUGCAGAGCCACCCAGGAGCAAAGUGAACCUGUAGUGUCAAGAGAGUGAGCUGACAUCUGGUUCCUUUGGAGGAUGUGAUUGGCCUGUUUGAGUCAUUCUACUAGCUGGAGGGAACUGAAACUCACUGUGCCAGGUGAAGUAGGACCUGCCUUCGGUUUCCUUGAUUUGGAGGCUUACUUGGCUGGGACCUCGUCCAUAGGAGCAGAGUGGGGAGGGGAACUUCCUAUUAGGACAUGCAGGGCCCUCCCAAUCUCACCACAUAUCAAGGCAACAGAGAAUAUUUCAUUUUAAUAAUUAAUUAUUAAAUUAAUGAUUAAAUUUAACUUAAUUUUAAAUCUAACACCAGACAUGUGAACCUCGUGAACCUCUCAUUCUCUUGGUGUAUAAAACCAGAGCAGGUAAAAAGACUUUUUCCCCUACAAGCUACCCAAGGCUAGGACAAGGCAAUACUGUGAGAAAGAAGCAGUUAUUUGGUAUCUUCAGGCAAGGAGACAUUUUAUUUCCUUUCCUGAAAUAUGGAUACCGUUCUACUCCUACCACCUAGCUUCCAGUCAUUGAUUAAGAGGGGAGGGAGAUAAGUUUAUCUGUUUCCCAAUUUAGAUCCCCUCUCAAAACAACAGAAUGAUUCAUAAUUUUCUUAUGUACUCCGUAGCCACUACUUCACAACCUCUCUCCCACCCAUUGUUGAAAAACGAUUUUCUUUUCUUACAUAUUUCAUGGCACACUUGUUUAUGUUUAUAUUAUUAAUAUCUAUAUCUUGGACAACAUUAUAAAGCCUUGGAAAGUCAGUGCAUGCUCUGUACUUUGCAAAGGUCAUUAGCAGAAGGAUAAGAAUAAAGGAGUGGCCUCCACCUGCUCACCUCUGCCACCUUGGAUUUGACGUCAUUAACACCGCUGCCCCUUUGUCAGGCACUGCGGGUGUUGUGAUUGGGAGAGAGAGUGUGCUUCCAUGAACACAGGACGUGCAGGAGGCAUAUUGGAUUCCUUUGCCUUCAGCAUAACAGAGGAGGUGGCCCCAAACACCACGGGAAGGCUCCUGAUGCUGACCUGGGGGUGAUCCCCUUCUCCCUGGAGCUCCGUGGCCUCUGGGCUUGGCCUCAAACAGGUGUCACAUUGCUGUGUUCCUGUGUCUGGGAGACUCUCUGCCUCCUCUCACUGUGUUCAAACCAACCCCUAGGACUCAGCUCCAGAGGCAGAAGGCACCUGAAAGAGAGUUCCACUUCUAGCAUUUUUCAGAUGGCAAACGAGGCUCAGCAAGGCCAGGGGAUUUCCUCCCGGAUAUAGAGGCAUAGACGCGGUCAAGACCAGGUCUCUGGAUUCCCUUUCUAGUAUGACUUAUAUUAAAGCAGCAUCUUCUCAGGUCUAAGAGUCCUCGUGUAUGUAAAACGAGGGGUAUGCAAGGUGGCUCUAAAGUCCCUUCCAUCUGUGCCUUAUGUACUGAUACGCUAUUAUUGGGUAUGUACUGAUUGUUUCAUUUUAGAAUUCACUGUUCUCAAUGCAUUGACUAGAAUGUUACCAACUGAAAUGAAUCAGGAAGAGGACAUAAUUUUGCUUGGCUCUUUUAAGCUUAAAUUCAAUUUCUGUUUUUUUAAUGGUAAGAAUGUGAGGAAACAAAUGGUAAAUUCACCCACAGUAAAAAAAAAAGAAAAAGAGGUUCAAAUACACACCUUCAGGUGAUUUGUGCACAGGAAAAGCACUAUGUUACGUGAUUCUUAAAUAGUUUAUCUAACUAUACCAGGAAAAGUCUCCUUCUGGUGCAGUGGGGCGGGGGAAGGCAGGGAUACGCAGGGAAUGAUGGUGAUAAGCAUUUUCCAAAUUAGGAAAUAGAUAUGCUUUUCUUCUUACUCUCUUACAUAACUGAUCUAUUUUAGAAGACAACACAAAAAAACUGAAAUGAAAUACAAAUCUCAUGAUUUUACUACUUUGUUAGCAAAGACAGAAGUAACGCUGGAAGGGAAAGAGAGGAGAGUUUCACCCCAUCCUAUUCCUCUUGGCCCGGAGGAUUUUUUUUUUUUUUUUUCCCACAGGAUUCCCUCUCCUCCAUGGCAGCCUGCUGGGUGAGUCAGAGACCAAAGUCCAAAUUUUAGAAAAUGAAUGAAGAAAGAUACUAAUUUUCUCUCCUCUGAAUUUAAAAAGCAGUCGCAUCAAAGUACAUCUCCUCUUUUGGUGGCAUAGCAUGACAGACAAGUGACCGGUCUUAGAGUCAGUGAUCGUUUUGCCCCAGACUUCCUGAUUCAGAGGGAAAUUGUGCUGCACACAAAGGCCACAGAGGCAGUACAACCUCUUACAUAAAUAAGUUACAUAAAUGAGAACCAGUUACGUAAAUGUAUAAACGAGCAAACAGGAAUUAUAACCAUUCACAAAUGCCAAGGAGAACACGGCAAGAUUCCUCCUACAGUCCCAUUUUUCCCCCUUCACAUUAUCAUAAUUGUACUAUUUUAUUUCACACCAGAAUCAGAUAUGGCUAUUUGUCACAUUUAUUGGGGAAAGAAAUUCCAAAGGAUAAAUGCUGCUUCAUAUUAUUUUCUGAACCAUAUAUUUUACUUUUGGGGGAAAUUCCCUAAUAAAACCUGAUUUGAACUAUACUUGAUAAGAAACAUAAGCAUGUUUAUCAACUUAUACUUUUUUUGUGUAAUCAUGAACACAUGUAUUCAUUACUAUUGUACAUUUUGCAAGCGGCUCUUAGGAUAGGAAUACAUCACAAAAGUAAAUGUCCAUGGGCAUAUGGAUAUUUGUUUUACUACUUAUGGUUUCAAGUUUCAGAUGAGUAUGUGGGCAUCUGACUAAUGUCAUUCUUCUGUUUAUGGAGGGAAGGCAGUGAUUCAGGGGUCUAGAAUUAGAUUCAAGGUUGUGCUUGUGAAUCAAUCCCAAUACACCACACUUCAGAUGAUUAGGAGUUGCUCCUUGGGUCUCAGCUGGCAAUCUGUUUCAGGUUCAAUGGGGAUGUUGUCUUGGGGGCAGUGUAUCUACGUCUCUGAAGUCGUGAGAUUUGCUAAUUAUGUAGUAGAAACACAUGUAACUCAAAGCAGUUUUGAGCCUAACUGCCUGUUCUCUGUAAAGAGGGAUGUUGAUUAAACGUUAGCCAGUUUCAUACAUAGUAUGCUCAGGUUGAGUCCCUUUAGCUCCGUUUUGAAAAUCUCAUGUGAAAUAUUUUUAUCUAAGAUCUAAUAAUAGUGGAAUGCGAGUAAAGUGAUCUUAAAACGUUUGUA